Salvelinus namaycush (lake trout) is the source of this 344-nucleotide long non-coding RNA. RefSeq lists it as uncharacterized. The record is from RefSeq and is a predicted model, not a curated record. Lineage: Eukaryota; Metazoa; Chordata; Actinopteri; Salmoniformes; Salmonidae. The transcript has 3 exons.
CUGAAGUCCAAAGCAGCUGAUUGGUCGGCCCCAUCUACGAUUGGAGCUCUGACCCCGCCCUCUCGUCAGGGGAUACAGCUGUCUGCAAUUACCGACUCCUGCAGCUUUAAAAGCCAUUGUUCCUUUGUUAGGAGAGAGAGCUUCUUGGGGGGAAGGGGAAGGCACCUUGGGAGUGCUUAGGCAAGAGGCCUGUGGGCAGACAUAUACAUGUAGUAUGUACACUGUCUGCUCACUAGGUAAGACCUGGGCGGACCAUCCCCUGUGUUUUGGUUAGCGGGCCAGGUGGCGCAAAGAAUAGGUAACCAUGGUCGACAGAGGAAGAACAAUGAUUCCAAGCACAACCC